This 77-nucleotide transfer RNA is filed under the name Leptotrichia sp. RNAcentral's name for it is "tRNA-Pro". It matches the Rfam family "tRNA". From Rfam's summary of the family: Transfer RNA (tRNA) molecules are approximately 80 nucleotides in length. Their secondary structure includes four short double-helical elements and three loops (D, anti-codon, and T loops). Further hydrogen bonds mediate the characteristic L-shaped molecular structure. tRNAs have two regions of fundamental functional importance: the anti-codon, which is responsible for specific mRNA codon recognition, and the 3' end, to which the tRNAs corresponding amino acid is attached (by aminoacyl-tRNA synthetases). tRNAs cope with the degeneracy of the genetic code in two manners: having more than one tRNA (with a specific anti-codon) for a particular amino acid; and 'wobble' base-pairing, i.e. permitting non-standard base-pairing at the 3rd anti-codon position. RNAcentral also lists the same sequence under 4 other names. Lineage: Bacteria; Fusobacteriati; Fusobacteriota; Fusobacteriia; Fusobacteriales; Leptotrichiaceae. The record is from RNAcentral.
CGGUGUAUAGCGCAGCUCGGUAGCGCACCUGCCUUGGGAGCAGGGGGUCGCAGGUUCAAAUCCUGCUACACCGACCA